UAAUUCUCUUACAAACAAGGAAGGCCAUAGAGGAAUUCAGUGUCUAUUUUUCUGUUUCAGCAUCCUAGCGUUCUCAAGGUCACCUUGUGGCCCAAGAUGGCAGCUAUCACAUCCGUAUGCCAGGAGACAUCUAAAGGAAGGGAGAAAAGGCAAAAUGUUGGGCCUUCUAGGAACUCUUCCAUAUUGCCCUGCAUACCCAAAAGGAGAAUUCUG
This 213-nucleotide long non-coding RNA is filed under the name Bos indicus x Bos taurus (hybrid cattle). Its description in RNAcentral is "lncRNA (ENSBIXG00000021522.1)". Lineage: Eukaryota; Metazoa; Chordata; Mammalia; Artiodactyla; Bovidae. The record is from RNAcentral.